This 253-nucleotide ribosomal RNA is filed under the name uncultured bacterium. Its description in RNAcentral is "partial 16S ribosomal RNA". It matches the Rfam family "Bacterial small subunit ribosomal RNA", at positions 524 to 776 of the family's 1533-position model. The record is from RNAcentral.
GACAGAGGGUGCAAGCGUUGUUCGGAAUUACUGGGCGUAAAGCGAGUGUAGGCGGUGUGGUAAGUCGGAUGUGAAAGCCCCGGGCUCAACCCGGGAAGUGCACUCGAUACUGCCACGCUAGAGUAUCGGAGAGGUUGGUGGAAUUCUCGGUGUAGAGGUGAAAUUCGUAGAUAUCGAGAGGAACACCGGUGGCGAAGGCGGCCAACUGGACGAAUACUGACGCUGAGACUCGAAAGCGUGGGGAGCAAACAGG